AAUUUGAAGAAGGAUACUUUGGGGUUGGCUCUUGUCUAUGUUCCUUGGAACAGGACGUCACAGAGGGUGAGAAUCCCGUGCGAUGAGAGUCCCAAUUCCGUGUAAAGUUCCUUCGAAGAGUCGAGUUGUUUGGGAAUGCAGCUCUAAGUGGGUGGUAAAUUCCAUCUAAAGCUAAAUAUUGGCGAGAGACCGAUAGCGAACAAGUACAGUGAUGGAAAGAUGAAAAGAACUUUGAAAAGAGAGUGAAAAAGUACGUGAAAUUGUUGAAAGGGAAGGGCUUGAGAUCAGACUUGGUAUUUUGUAUGUCUUGCUUUCGGGCGGGGCCUCUGCAGUUUACUGGGCCAGCAUCGGUUUGGGUGGUAGGAUAAUUGCGAAGGAACGUGGCACUGCUUCGGUGGUGUGUUAUAGCCUUUGUCGAUACUGCCUGCCUAGACCGAGGACUGCGUCUUUUGACUAGGAUGCUGGCAUAAUGAUCCUAAGCCGCCCGUCUU
Molecule: ribosomal RNA, 491 nt
Filed under: Spathaspora sp. UFMG-CM-Y6079
Lineage: Eukaryota; Fungi; Ascomycota; Pichiomycetes; Serinales; Debaryomycetaceae
Description: eukaryotic LSU rRNA
Rfam family: Eukaryotic large subunit ribosomal RNA
Source: RNAcentral